AUUGAACGCUGGCGGCAUGCUUUACACAUGCAAGUCGAACGGCAGCGCGGGCUUCGGCCUGGCGGCGAGUGGCGAACGGGUGAGUAAUGCAUCGGAACGUGCCCAGUAGUGGGGGCUAGCCCGGCGAAAGCCGGAUUAAUACCGCAUACGACCUGAGGGUGAAAGCGGGGGACCGAAAGGCCUCGCGCUAUUGGAGCGGCCGGUGUCGGAUUAGCUAGUUGGUGGGGUAAAGGCUUACCAAGGCGACGAUCCGUAGCUGGUCUGAGAGGGCGACCAGCCACACUGGGACUGAGACACGGCCCAGACUCCUACGGGAGGCAGCAGUGGGGAAUUUUGGACAAUGGGGGCAACCCUGAUCGAGCCAUGCCGCGUGCGGGAAGAAGGCCUUCGGGUUGUAAACCGCUUUUGUUCGGGAAGAAAUCCUCUGGGCUAAUACCCCGGGGGGAUGACGGUACCGGAAGAAUAAGCACCGGCUAACUACGUG
RNAcentral lists this ribosomal RNA (484 nucleotides) under uncultured bacterium. Its description in RNAcentral is "partial 16S ribosomal RNA". It matches the Rfam family "Bacterial small subunit ribosomal RNA", at positions 28 to 507 of the family's 1533-position model. The record is from RNAcentral.